GUCGGAAAUCGUACGUAGAGUGUAAAGGCAAAAGAGAGCUUGAUUGCAAGACAUACAGGUCGAGCAAGGAUGAAAAUCGGACUUAGUGAUCCGGUGGUUCUGCGUGGAAGGGCCAUCGCUCAACGGAGAAAAGCUACCCUGGGGAUAACAGGCUUAUCUCCCCCAAGAGUCCACAUCGACGGGGAGGUUUGGCACCUCGAUGUCGGCUCAUCACAUCCUGGGGCUGUAGUAGGUCCCAAGGGUUGGGCUGUUCGCCCAUUAAAGUGGUACGCGAGCUGGGUUCAGAACGUCGUGAGACAGUUCGGUCCCUAUCCGUCGCAGGCGUAGGAAAUUUGAGAAGACCUGUCCUUAGUACGAGAGGACCGGGAUGGACGUACCUCUGGUGUACCAGUUGUCCUGCCAAGGGCAUGGCUGGGUAGCUAUGUACGGAAUGGAUAAGCGCUGAAAGCAUCUAAGCGCGAAGCCAACUUCAAGAUAAGAUUUCCCACCG
Molecule: ribosomal RNA, 490 nt
Filed under: Clostridioides difficile
Lineage: Bacteria; Bacillati; Bacillota; Clostridia; Peptostreptococcales; Peptostreptococcaceae
Description: bacterial LSU rRNA
Rfam family: Bacterial large subunit ribosomal RNA
Source: RNAcentral